RNAcentral lists this transfer RNA (66 nucleotides) under Smaragdina concolor. RNAcentral describes it as "tRNA-Glu". Lineage: Eukaryota; Metazoa; Arthropoda; Insecta; Coleoptera; Chrysomelidae. The record is from RNAcentral.
UUUUACAUAGUUUAAAAAUUAAAACAUUACAUUUUCACUGUAAAAACAGAACAUUUCUUGUAAUAC